CUGAUCACAAAGGGGAGCCCAAAAGGCUGAGAAUGAGUUUACUCUAAACCCUUCGUACCUGUUUCGAUCAUUCGAGCGUAGGAAUUGUGACGAGUUGAAGU
This 101-nucleotide non-coding RNA is filed under the name Enterococcus sp. RNAcentral's name for it is "TPP sequence". It matches the Rfam family "TPP riboswitch aptamer (THI element)". Rfam says of the family: Vitamin B(1) in its active form thiamin pyrophosphate (TPP) is an essential coenzyme that is synthesised by coupling of pyrimidine and thiazole moieties in bacteria. The previously detected thiamin-regulatory element, thi box was extended, resulting in a new, highly conserved RNA secondary structure, the THI element, which is widely distributed in eubacteria and also occurs in some archaea. Analysis of operon structures identified a large number of new candidate thiamin-regulated genes, mostly transporters, in various prokaryotic organisms. The record is from RNAcentral. Lineage: Bacteria; Bacillati; Bacillota; Bacilli; Lactobacillales; Enterococcaceae.